Molecule: ribosomal RNA, 603 nt
Filed under: Nostoc flagelliforme
Lineage: Bacteria; Bacillati; Cyanobacteriota; Cyanophyceae; Nostocales; Nostocaceae
Description: bacterial SSU rRNA
Rfam family: Bacterial small subunit ribosomal RNA
Source: RNAcentral
GGAAACGGUGGCUAAUACCGGAUGUGCCGAAAGGUGAAAGGUUAACUGCCUGAAGAUGACCUCGCGUCUGAUUAGCUAGUAGGUGUGGUAAUGGGGCACCUAGGCGACGAUCAGUAGCUGGUCUGAUAGGACGAUCAACCACACUGGGACUGAGACACGGCCCAUACUCCUACGGGAGGCAGCAGUGGGGAAUUUUCCGCAAUGGGCGAAAGCCUGACGGAACAAUACCGCGUGAGGGAGGAAGGCUCUUGGGUCGUAAACCUCUUUUCUCAGGGAAUAACCCAAUGACGGUACCUGAGGAAUAAGCAUCGGCUAACUCCGGCCAGCAGCCGCGGUCUACGGACCGAUGCAAGCGUUAUCCGGAAUGAUUGGGCGUAAAGCGUCCGCAAGUGGCCAUGUAAGUCUCCUGUUAAAGAGUCUACCUCAACUAAAUCCCAGCAGGGGAAACUACCUACCCUAAACUACUUCCGGGGCAAAGGGAAUUCCUGGUUACCGGUCAAAUGCGUUAAUAUCAGGAAAACCACCGCUUGGGGAAGGCGCCCUGUUAGGCCGUAACUACACUGAGGGACCAAACCUAUGGGAGCGAUUGGCCUUAAAUUCCCC